RNAcentral lists this ribosomal RNA (394 nucleotides) under uncultured bacterium. RNAcentral's name for it is "bacterial SSU rRNA". It matches the Rfam family "Bacterial small subunit ribosomal RNA", at positions 50 to 429 of the family's 1533-position model. The record is from RNAcentral.
UAGGCAUGCAAGUCGAACAGGAAAGCACCUUCGGGGUGUUAGUAAAGUGGCGAACGGGUGAGUAACGCGUGGGAAACCUGCUCUUGAGCGGGGGAUAACAGUUCUAACGGACUGCUAAUACCGCAUAAUGCCAUAGGUCACAUGUCCUGUGGUUAAAGGAGGCCUCUUCUUGAAAGCUUCCGCUUAAGAAUGGUCCCGCGUCCUAUUAGCUUGUUGGUAGGGUAACGGCCUACCAAGGCAACAAUGGGUAGCCGGCUUGAGAGAGUGGUCGGCCACACUGGGACUGAGACACGGCCCAGACACCAACGGGCGGCAGCAGUCGAGGAUCGUGCACAAUGGGCGAAAGCCUGACGCUGCGACGCCGCGUGGAGGAUGAAGGCCCUAGGGUCGUAAA